GUCGGCUAGCUCAGCUGUUAAAGCAUGAGACUCUUAAUCUCGGGCUUGUGAGUUCGAAUCCCGCAUUGGGCA
This is a non-coding RNA of Podarcis lilfordi (Lilford's wall lizard), 72 nucleotides long. Lineage: Eukaryota; Metazoa; Chordata; Lepidosauria; Squamata; Lacertidae. The record is from the annotation of a GenBank genome assembly.